CAAAAUAUAGCUUAAACAAAGCAUCCCGCUUACACCGAGAAAACGUCUGUGAAAACCGGACUAUUUUGA
This 69-nucleotide transfer RNA is filed under the name Phrynoidis juxtasper (Sungei Tawan toad). Its description in RNAcentral is "tRNA-Val". It matches the Rfam family "tRNA". Rfam says of the family: Transfer RNA (tRNA) molecules are approximately 80 nucleotides in length. Their secondary structure includes four short double-helical elements and three loops (D, anti-codon, and T loops). Lineage: Eukaryota; Metazoa; Chordata; Amphibia; Anura; Bufonidae. The record is from RNAcentral.